This 296-nucleotide signal recognition particle RNA is filed under the name Tropilaelaps mercedesae. RNAcentral's name for it is "Metazoan signal recognition particle RNA". It matches the Rfam family "Metazoan signal recognition particle RNA". Rfam says of the family: The signal recognition particle (SRP) is a universally conserved ribonucleoprotein. The record is from Rfam by way of RNAcentral. Lineage: Eukaryota; Metazoa; Arthropoda; Arachnida; Mesostigmata; Laelapidae.
GCCGGGGGUCGUGGCGUAUCCCUGUAAUCCCGCGUCUGGGAGGCUGGUGCAUGGGAUGUCCACGGGCUGGGGCAACCCGCCGUUGAUUGUCCAUGUCGAUCGGGUGUCCGCACUAAGCUCGGCGUCCACAUGGCCGCUUCCAGGGAACUGGAUGCGUCCAGGUCGGCUGACGAGGGGCGAACCGGCUCAGGGCGGAAACGCAGCAGGCAAAAGUCCCCGCGCUGUGCAGUAGUGGGAUCGCACCCGUGAAUGGGCGUCCUCCGUGGGCCUAGCCUACUGGUUGGACCUCGCACCCU